UAGGGAAUCUUCCACAAUGGGCGCAAGCCUGAUGUAGCAACACCGCGUGAGUGAAGAAGGGUUUCGGCUCGUAAAGCUCUGUUGUUGGAGAAGAACGUGCUUGAGAGUAACUGUUCACGNCGUGACGGUAUCCAACCAGAAAGUUCCUGCUACCUACGUGUCAGCAGCCGCGGUAAUACGUAGGUGGCAAGCGUUAUCCGGAUUUAUUGGGCGUAAAGCGAGCGCAGGCGGUUGCUUAGGUCUGAUGUGAAAGCCUUCGGCUUAACCGAAGAAGUGCAUCGGAAACCGGGCGACUUGAGUGCAGAAGAGGACAGUGGAACUCCAUGUGUAGCGGUGGAAUGCGUAGAUAUAUGGAAGAACACCAGUGGCGAAGGCGGCUGUCUGGUCUGCAACUGACGCUGAGGCUCGAAAGCAUGGGUAGCGAACAGG
This 429-nucleotide ribosomal RNA is filed under the name uncultured bacterium. Its description in RNAcentral is "bacterial SSU rRNA". It matches the Rfam family "Bacterial small subunit ribosomal RNA", at positions 355 to 776 of the family's 1533-position model. The record is from RNAcentral.